Molecule: unclassified non-coding RNA, 731 nt
Filed under: Hevea brasiliensis (rubber tree)
Lineage: Eukaryota; Viridiplantae; Streptophyta; Magnoliopsida; Malpighiales; Euphorbiaceae
Source: RNAcentral
UAUUGUCUCAUGUUUCUGCAUCCUGGUUCAUAAUCAACAACUAGAAAGCGAUAUUAUUCACUGCAUUAGGUGCCUUUGUUUUCCUUUAUGUGAUUAUUGAAGCUCUUGUGCCUACUACUACAUCAUUGAUACAAUUAAAGCUUGAUAACUUAAGAAGUAUUGCAAAUACUAUCAAACAAUUCUUGGCUUGUCUUCAUCCAAUAUUUGAAACUACUCAAUUCAGAAAAUGAUGGGGAUAUAGAUGUGUUAGAAUCUUGAAUUCAUCUCCCUCCAGAAAUGAUUGGAAAAACACCUCCAAGUUAUAAAUGGCUGUAUUUAGGCUCUUCAAUUUUCCAGGAAUAUGCACCAUGAGAAGGUUCUUUUGGAUAUUUUAUUGUAGCAGGUUUUUUAGGUGACCUUUUGGAGGAUUUUGAGACCGUGAAGACAACAUAAAAAAAAAGGGAAAUGCAUGAGAACAUUUUGGAAAAUAUAAUAAGAAUCCAAAGUUUAUAAAGUUUCUAAGCCAUAUUAUUAUGCUUCAAUGUCUCCCAGCUCCACUCUUUCUUCAUUGCUAUUGCAAAAAUGACCAUUUGGAAUACAAUGAUGAUGUUCUAAUGUUUGUUAUAUUUUCAUCCAAGAAAAAAUUUUUUGUGUUGUGGGAAAUCUUAAGUUACAUGGAAACACAACCAAAUCAUUGAUUGGUCAAAUAUCUUAGCGAAUUUGAGUUUGCUUGAUAUGUCUAUGACUCAGGA